UGCUCCUACGGGGCGCAGCAGUGGGGAAUAUUGCACAAUGGGGGAAACCCUGAUGCAGCGACGCCGCGUGAGUGAAGAAGUAUUUCGGUAUGUAAAGCUCUAUCAGCAGGGAAGAUAAUGACGGUACCUGACUAAGAAGCCCCGGCUAACUACGUGCCAGCAGCCGCGGUAAUACGUAGGGGGCAAGCGUUAUCCGGAUUUACUGGGUGUAAAGGGAGCGUAGGUGGCAGGGCAAGUCAGAUGUGAAGGCCCGGGGCUCAACCCCGGGACUGCUUUGGAAACUGUGUAGCUAGAGUGCUGGAGAG
RNAcentral lists this ribosomal RNA (305 nucleotides) under uncultured bacterium. RNAcentral's name for it is "bacterial SSU rRNA". It matches the Rfam family "Bacterial small subunit ribosomal RNA", at positions 334 to 656 of the family's 1533-position model. The record is from RNAcentral.